Musa acuminata AAA Group (dessert banana) is the source of this 1723-nucleotide long non-coding RNA. RefSeq lists it as uncharacterized. The transcript has 5 exons. NCBI's taxonomy places the organism in Eukaryota, Viridiplantae, Streptophyta, Magnoliopsida, Zingiberales, Musaceae. The record is from RefSeq and is a predicted model, not a curated record.
GAAUAACUGCAUUCCAAAUCACAUCAUUUUAUGGUCGGGCGUAACUCAUUGAACUCGGUCUGCAAGCCAAUCGCUAGCAGAUGAGUGUGGGUAUGAUAGUGAUCGUCCAAACCGAUGAAAUUGGGCCGUCUGGCCCAACAAUGUAAAUUAAAGUAGGGUUGAUGGCGAGAUCAUUCCGAGUUAUGGCCCAUGAAUUAGGGUUUUGGAGAUCGACAAGACGAUGAAGAGAGGAUUGAUUGGGCCAAGAAGAGGAUGAGUUAGAAGGAAGCCGGAUGAUUCGAAGGUGAUGGCGAACCACGCCGAUUCCAAGCGCACGUUCAGAUAUUUUUCUUGGUAGGCCUGUGUCCGUGCUUUAAAAAUUCGACCUUUAUUUGAAUUUGUUGAGUAAUAAUCUCUCUUUAGUAGGUGUUCAUAUGUUUGCUAGUUAGAUGUUCUAGUUUUAUCAUGGGAAGAACUUUAUGUUGUGAGAUCAAUGUGGCAAGAAGGAUUACUGCAGUGCAAAUAGCAAGCAGGAAAGAGGAUACAUUCUGUUCAAAAUUCCUCUGGAACAGACUAAUCCAACUCCUUUGAAAGAGCUCAAGGUUGAUUAUGAACAUGCAAAGCAUCUUGGGGCUCGAUGACAAUAGUGUACCAGUACCAGGAGAGAAGGGUGAGAAGAGCCUUCACAAGGAGUUUGCUCCUCCGUCUGCUGUCUAUUUACCUCUGAGUCUUUAGAGAAAAGGUCCAAACAGGGACAAGGGUCAGCUUUAUCAUCAUCAUUUAAGGAUGUGCAAAGGCAAAGUUCAUCUGCAGCACUUGCUGUAUUCACUUGUGACAGAUGGGCAAGUCCAGCUUCGCUUUCAAGACACUGAUGGAGCCUAUUCAAGGAUUUCUUUUAGUGCAUCAAAAGUGCUCAGGAGGUAUCUUUGUUUACAGGAAUGAGAAUCUAUCCCUUGGAUUAAUACCAAAUGAUCUAGUCAUUCAAUAGCAAGCUUCUAAAACAAAUGAAGAGGACAAAUGCAAGUUAACCAUUCUGUGUUGGUUUGAUUCACUGUGCAUAUACUGCCAGAAACUGAAGGCAGAGGGAUCACAACAGGAUAUAUAGAGAGAGAAAGAGAUUUCACAACAGGAAGGAGAGGACAAGUAGGUGGUUUAUGAGGGUAGGCAAUACCAAGACAAGACGCAUGUGCAUCUAUCUCCCAUGCUCUUCCAGAUGACAUCUCAACUGAGAGAGAAUGAGAGAGUGGCAGGAGACAUCAAGAGUUGAUCAGCAACCUCACAUUAAUAUCAGACAUCUCUUUUUGUGAUAUGGAUGGUACCAUGCACUAAUUACUCCCCACCUGUUUGGUUGUUGGUGUACUACAUGAUAACUGAUCCAUGUGGGAGCAAUACCAGACUGCUUCAGCUAGCAGAAAUGACAUGGCCUGGGAAGAAAAAAACCAGCUCUAAGAUGCACAUCCAAGGAAGCUAAGUCAACAUGUUGGGCCAUCCCACCACAUGGUGUCUGUGUGUAGGUUUUCCUGCAUCACAUGUGACUUCCCCUUGUUUUAAGCUGGAGAAGUUGAAGCUUGAGUGGUGUUUUCAGCUCUAGUUCUUUGGACAGUGCAAGAACUCUACCAGUGCUGUAGUGGAGUCAAGGCUGCAGUAACCCCUCCUACUUGGCUGGGAUGUCUGUCAAUGUACCUAGACAAUCUCAGAUGGUUUUAUGUUUAGAAUAUCAAGAACUCAAAAUUUUCAGAAAAUA